GUUUCCCGCCCCCCUGGUGGAGAACGCCCUUAAACUUCCCCCUCGGAACAAGGAGCCGGUAUGUAGGCACGAAAAUCCUGCCCAAAACACCUAGCUUUGCCACACCCACAAGGGAUUUCAGCAGUGAUUAACAUUGAUUAUGAGCGAAAAGCUCGAUUCAGUCAUAGAUAAACAGAGCCGGCCCAUCUGGUGCCAGCCGCCGCGGUUACACCACGUGGCUCAAAUUGAUUUCUAUCGGCGUAAAGCGUGAUUAAAGCUACUCAUAAUUAAGGUUAAAUUGAAACUAAGCUGUGACAUGCUUGUAAUUAAGAAACCCAAGAACGAAAGUCACCUUAAUCAAAUUACUUGAACUCACGACAACUGGGACACAAACUGGGAUUAGAUACCCCACUAUGCUCAGUCGUAAACUUUAAAUUACAUUAUAUCGCCAGGGAACUACUGGCCUAGCCUAAAACCCAAAGGACUUGACGGUACCCUAUAUCCACCUAGAGGAGCCUGUCCUAUAAUCGAUAACCCACGUUCAACCUCACCGCUUCUAGUUUCUCAGCCUGUAUACCUCCGUCGUCAGCUUACCCCGUGAGCGCCUCAUAGUGAGCAUAAUGUCCUCCAACAACACGUCAGGUCAAGGUGCAGCAAAUGGAGCGGGAAGAGAUGGGCUACACUCUCUACCUUAGAACACACGGAAAACUAUCAUGAAAUCUAGUCUGAAGGCGGAUUUAGCAGUAAAAAGAGACCAUUAUACUCAUUUUAAAUUGGCACUAGGGUGUGUACACACCGCCCGUCACCCUCUUCGAAACAACUCACUUAUAAUUUAUAAACCCCCCACACACAAAGAAGAGGCAAGUCGUAACAUGGUAAGUAUACCGGAAGGUGUGCUUGGAAA
RNAcentral lists this non-coding RNA (883 nucleotides) under Amazophrynella minuta (tiny tree toad). Its description in RNAcentral is "partial 12S ribosomal RNA". It matches the Rfam family "Bacterial small subunit ribosomal RNA". Lineage: Eukaryota; Metazoa; Chordata; Amphibia; Anura; Bufonidae. The record is from RNAcentral.